This 21-nucleotide non-coding RNA is filed under the name Caenorhabditis elegans. The record is from RNAcentral. Lineage: Eukaryota; Metazoa; Nematoda; Chromadorea; Rhabditida; Rhabditidae.
UCUUCUUCGAAACGUUUGCAA